UACGUAGGGUGCGAGCGUUGUCCGGAUUUAUUGGGCGUAAAGAGCGUGUAGGCGGUUUGGUAGGUCCGCUGUGAAAACUCGAGGCUCAACCUCGAGACGUCGGUUGAAACCAUCUGGCUAGAGUCCGGAAGAGGAGUGUGGAAUUCCCGGUGUAGCGGUGAAAUGCGCAGAUAUCGGGAAGAACACCCGUGGCGAAGGCGGCACUCUGGGACGGUACUGACGCUGAGACGCGAAAGCGUGGGGAGCGAACAGG
RNAcentral lists this ribosomal RNA (253 nucleotides) under uncultured bacterium. Its description in RNAcentral is "partial 16S ribosomal RNA". It matches the Rfam family "Bacterial small subunit ribosomal RNA", at positions 524 to 776 of the family's 1533-position model. The record is from RNAcentral.